RNAcentral lists this long non-coding RNA (399 nucleotides) under Homo sapiens (human). RNAcentral's name for it is "HSALNT0240197". The record is from RNAcentral. Lineage: Eukaryota; Metazoa; Chordata; Mammalia; Primates; Hominidae.
AGUUUUUGCAGAUUCUUCAGGAUUUUCUAUGUAUAUAACCUUGUUGUACAAAGACGGACUUACUUCUUUUUCAGUCUUUAUGCUCGUCUCUCUCUGGUUGCAGUAUGAAGAUCUGACUGGAAGAACACACGCACAGAUGCAGGGAAACCAGUUAAGAGAUCGGAGCAGCUGUCCAGGUGAGUGAAACUGGCAUCCUGAAUUAGAUUCAUGGUGGUGAAGAUAAGGAGAUGUGAACAAACUAGAUAUUUGGGAGGUAGGAAAAAUAGAACUUAGUGAUUGUGACCAGGCGCAGUGGCUCACACCUGUAAUCCCAGCACUUUGGGAGGCCGAGGCAGGCAGAUCACUUGAGGUCAGGAGUUCGAGACCAGUCUCGCCAACAUGAUGAAACCCGCUACUCUA